Scylla paramamosain (green mud crab) is the source of this 1394-nucleotide long non-coding RNA. RefSeq lists it as uncharacterized. The record is from RefSeq and is a predicted model, not a curated record. The transcript is spliced from 5 exons. Lineage: Eukaryota; Metazoa; Arthropoda; Malacostraca; Decapoda; Portunidae.
AGGUCCUCACGGCUCAUCCAGCAGAGGACAUCAUCCUUGGUGUAGUCCUCAGCCAGGAACUGUGGGGGCACAAGUGUGGUAAGGCGAGGUGUGAUGAGGCAUGGUGUGGUGAGGUGCAAUCCUCACGGUGGUGCAAAGGGGAAACCCUUGCCUUGUCAAUGACAUCACGGUCGAUGCCAAGCUUCUGCAGCCACAGGACGAGCUCCAUGUCAAUGUUGCGGGAGGAGACGUGCACCAUGGGUGUGUCCGGUGGCAGCGGGGGCAUGGCAGGCGAGGCAGCGGCACUCUGCAGGGAGGGAGACACUUGUCGUCAACAACAACAACAGUGCUUGCUUCACCUCCUGCCCCACAUACUGAACAGUGGAGGGAGAGGGAGAAAGCAAGUGUAGUAUUAAAGUUGUGUGUACUUGUAAAAGACACUUAUCAGUUCAACACACUCAUCUAUGGUGUUGCAAAUGGGAGGGACAACAGGUGUGCAAGAACGCUCACCUCGGCUGUCAUGGUGGUGGCACUGCAGGUGGAGUCCACUGUGCUGGCAGAGGAGUGUGAGGCACUGCCCUCCUCCUGGCAAAGCCUCUUCCCGGCAGGGGUGCUGGUGGCCCCCAAACCCAGGGGUGGCAGGGGCACGCCCAUCUGGUCCGCUAGGUGCUGGCUCUGCUCUUGCCGCUCCGAGAGGAACAUCUUGAGCAGGUCCCCAUAGCGCUUCUCUGAGAGGUACAGCUCCUCCAGCAGCCUGCAACGGUGAUGGCAACAGUGAGGACAGCAACACCACUGGCACCCACCAAGCCACACCACACACUAGCCACCGCUGACCAGGAUGUAACACCAAGAACACAAACACAUGGAGUCUUGAGGUUACUGCAAUACCCUUCACCUCAUACCCCAUGCCUGGUUACCUGAGUUAGCCACCACCAGGUGUGUUCAUUUAUGGACCUGAAGAUGCCUGAACACCUGGGUGGGCUGAGCUACCUGUGGCUACCUGGGGUCCCUGUGGCUACCUGUGGGUGGGGGAGUCAAUACGGGAGUGCUGACCUGAGGUUCUCCACCCGGGAUGCCUGGAGGUUGUCCUGCAGGUGGUGGCAGUGCUUGGAGUGGUGGAGGUCCCGCAGCAGCUUGGCAGACUUGGUGGAGUUGAUGGUGGACACUCCCGAGGUGCUGCCCUCCUCCACUGCAUCCCGAGGCCGCUCCAGCACGCCGCCCACUGCCUCUGCCGGGCCCAGGAGCUCCUCAUGCUCUGCGGACAUACACAUCAGACUAAUUUUACAGAAUACAGCACAGAAUGUGAGGUGGUGACGGGUGGCAGCGACCCACCUGGGGAGAGCACAGUGAUGGCACAGUGCACAGCGCUGCGCAGCAAGUCAUCCAGCGCAAACAUCCAGUGUGGCUUGAUGCUG